Non-coding RNA from Arachis ipaensis, 636 nucleotides. The record is from RefSeq and is a predicted model, not a curated record. Lineage: Eukaryota; Viridiplantae; Streptophyta; Magnoliopsida; Fabales; Fabaceae.
UACUCAAGUGAACCCUCAUAUCAGGAAUGAAGUAAGGUCUGAUACUUUUAAGGAGUACUCAAGUGAACCCUCAUAUCAGGAAUGAAGUAGUGGUAGUAGUGGAGUCAGAGUGUGUGUAUUUUGCGUUCUCUUGAAAUAAUUCUGAUUUGACAAUGGCGAAGGAGAAGGAGGAGGAGAUCAACAGGAGGAUGACGGUAGCCACCAUCAACAUCUUCCACUACUCCUUCAUCACCGUAACGUGUUUCCUGGAAAUGACAGAAAUCAUGAUGCUCCAAGAACUGAUAAAGUUGAGCCCAUUCAAGAUCGAACUCUGCCACCGAUGGAUGAACUGAAAGAAACUAAAAUGAUGCACCAGGAUAUGCAAUGAGUGGGAAAUUGAAUGAUAAAAGUGCUCUACAUAGUUUGGAUGCUAUCCUUCAGAAGCUUUUGGCAGAAAAGAAGCCUUUGAAGCCUUGUGUAUGUUACUUGGGCCAUCCCGUUAACACAAUCCUUGCUAUGUAUCUAAUACACCUAGAAACUAGAAGGGAACUUAUUUUUGUUUUUUCUGUCAAGUAAAGAAAUCAAUGUGACAUAUAUUCACCAGCAUGAAGAAGAAUGAAUGAACGAAAUUUGUAAACCUACUGACAAAAAAAGGAA